RNAcentral lists this ribosomal RNA (1062 nucleotides) under uncultured bacterium. RNAcentral's name for it is "bacterial SSU rRNA". It matches the Rfam family "Bacterial small subunit ribosomal RNA", at positions 12 to 1106 of the family's 1533-position model. The record is from RNAcentral.
UUUGAUCCUGGCUCAGAAUGAACGCUGGCGGCGUGCUUAACACAUGCAAGUCGAGCGAGAAAGGGCUUCGGCCUGAGUACAGCGGCAGACGGGUGAGUAACGCGUGGGAAUCUUCCUUUUAGUGGAGAAUACCCUCGAGAAAUCGAGGUUAAUACUGCAUAAGUUCCUUCGGGAAGAAAGAUGGCCUCUUUGCUAUCGCUAGAAGAUGAGCCCGCGUACUAUUAGCUAGUUGGUAGGGUAAAGGCCUACCAAGGCGAUGAUGGUUAACCGGCCUGAGAGGGUGUACGGUCACACUGGAACUGAGACACGGUCCAGACUCCUACGGGAGGCAGCAGUGAGGAAUAUUGCGCAAUGGACGAAAGUCUGACGCAGCGACGCCGCGUGGAGGAUGACGGUCUUCGGAUUGUAAACUUCUGUUAAGUGGGAAGAAAUACCCGGUAAUAAUACGACCGGGGGAUGACGGUACCAUUAGAGAAAGCACUGGCUAACUUCGUGCCAGCAGCCGCGGUAAUACGAAGGGUGCAAGCGUUAUUCGGAGUUAUUGGGCGUAAAGGGUGCGCAGGCGGUAUAUUAAGUCAACUGUUAAAUUUCCCGGCUUAACUGGGAACCAGCAGUAGAUACUGGUAUGCUUGAGGGUGGAAGAGAGAAGUGGAAUUCUCGGAGUAGCGGUAAAAUGCGUAGAUCUCGAGAGGAACACCGAUGGCGAAGGCAGCUUCUUGGUCCACAUCUGACGCUCAUGCACGAAAGCGGUGGGGGAGCAAACAGGAUUAGAUACCCUGGUAGUCCACGCUGUAAACGAUGAUCACUAGACGUAGGACUGCUCUGCAGUUUCAGUGUCGAAGCUAACGCGAUAGUGAUCGCUGGGGAGUACGUCGCAAGAUAAAACUCAAGAACUGACGGGGUCCGCACAGCGGUGAACUGUGGUUAUUCGAACCUACCGAGAUCUACCUAGGCUGGACUGAAUGGACGUCUAGAAAUAGUUCAGAAAUCCUGACGAUCAGGUCUGCAUGCUUCCCAGCCUGGUCUGGGAGUUGUAGCUUAAACUGCAUCGGCUAAAUGUGU